AACGCACAUUGCGCCCCCUGGCAUUCCGGGGGGCAUGCCUGUUCGAGCGUCAUUACACCAAUCACGCCUGGCGUGGUAUUGGGCGACGGGGAGCGUCAAGCGCCCCGCGCCUCAAUGACACCGGCGGGACGGAUCGAAUCUCAGCGUUGUGAUCAAAAGCCGCUGGCGAGACGAGACGACCUCGGCCGUUAAACAACCCAACUUCUUAGGUUGACCUCGGAUCAGGUAGGGAUACCCGCUGAACUUAA
RNAcentral lists this unclassified non-coding RNA (248 nucleotides) under uncultured fungus. RNAcentral's name for it is "partial contains 5.8S ribosomal RNA, internal transcribed spacer 2, and large subunit ribosomal RNA". Lineage: Eukaryota; Fungi. The record is from RNAcentral.